This 349-nucleotide ribosomal RNA is filed under the name uncultured Chloroflexota bacterium. RNAcentral describes it as "bacterial SSU rRNA". It matches the Rfam family "Bacterial small subunit ribosomal RNA", at positions 28 to 351 of the family's 1533-position model. The record is from RNAcentral. Lineage: Bacteria; Bacillati; Chloroflexota.
GAUGAACGCUGGCGGCGUGCCUAAUACAUGCAAGUCGAACGAAGAUGUUCUUGUGUUCGCACGAGAGCUCUUAGUGGCGGACGGGUGAGUAACGCGUUGGUGACCUGCCCUAAAGAAGGGAACAACCUUGGGAAACUGAGGCUAAUACCCUAUGUGCUUCUAAAGAUUAGAUGCUUUUGAAGUAAAGGUUCUGUGGACGAAAGGACACAGUGCCGCUUUAGGAGGGGCCUGCGUCCCAUCAGCUAGUUGGUAGGGUAAUGGCCUACCAAGGCAAUGACGGGUAGGGGACCUGAGAGGGUGACCCCCCACACUAGCACUGAAACACGGGCUAGACACCUACGGGUGGCUG